RNAcentral lists this ribosomal RNA (433 nucleotides) under uncultured bacterium. RNAcentral's name for it is "bacterial SSU rRNA". It matches the Rfam family "Bacterial small subunit ribosomal RNA", at positions 29 to 507 of the family's 1533-position model. The record is from RNAcentral.
AACGAACGCUGGCGGCAUGCCUAAUACAUGCAAGUCGAACGAGAUCUUCGGAUCUAGUGGCGCACGGGCGCGUAACGCGUGGGAAUCUACCCUUGGGUUCGGAAUAACAGUUAGAAAUGACUGCUAAUACCGGAUGAUGACGUAAGUCCAAAGAUUUAUCGCCCAAGGAUGAGCCCGCGUAGGAUUAGCUUGUUGGUGAGGUAAAAGCUCACCAAGGCGACGAUCCUUAGCUGGUCUGAGAGGAUGAUCAGCCACACUGGGACUGAGACACGGCCCAGACUCCUACGGGAGGCAGCAGUAGGGAAUAUUGGACAAUGGGGGCAACCCUGAUCCAGCAAUGCCGCGUGAGUGAUGAAGGCCUUAGGGUUGUAAAGCUCUUUUACCCGAGAUGAUAAUGACAGUAUCGGGAGAAUAAGCUCCGGCUAACUCCGUG